GUGAGAGUAGCUCAACUGGUUAGAGCAUCAGACUGUGGAUCUGAGGGUUGGGGGUUCAAGUCCCCUCUCUCACCCCU
Molecule: transfer RNA, 77 nt
Filed under: Gemmataceae bacterium
Lineage: Bacteria; Pseudomonadati; Planctomycetota; Planctomycetia; Gemmatales; Gemmataceae
Description: tRNA-His
Rfam family: tRNA
About the family: Transfer RNA (tRNA) molecules are approximately 80 nucleotides in length. Their secondary structure includes four short double-helical elements and three loops (D, anti-codon, and T loops). Further hydrogen bonds mediate the characteristic L-shaped molecular structure. tRNAs have two regions of fundamental functional importance: the anti-codon, which is responsible for specific mRNA codon recognition, and the 3' end, to which the tRNAs corresponding amino acid is attached (by aminoacyl-tRNA synthetases). tRNAs cope with the degeneracy of the genetic code in two manners: having more than one tRNA (with a specific anti-codon) for a particular amino acid; and 'wobble' base-pairing, i.e. permitting non-standard base-pairing at the 3rd anti-codon position.
Source: RNAcentral